RNAcentral lists this unclassified non-coding RNA (955 nucleotides) under Bombus terrestris (buff-tailed bumblebee). RNAcentral's name for it is "misc RNA ENSBTSG00005027453.1". Lineage: Eukaryota; Metazoa; Arthropoda; Insecta; Hymenoptera; Apidae. The record is from RNAcentral.
GCGAAAGAGAAACAAACGCAAUGAUUGAAUGCCUUUUCGCUCUGUUCGGUGUAAGUUUUCCAUGUAUUGCAAAUUUUGCAAUAAUGCCACAUUUGUAACGUUCCUGGAAAUGUUGAUUCACGGAUAUAAACGAAGAGCCUUGCUCGUAUAUAUGUUAAUAAAACGUAGCGUGUAAAUUAAUUGGUUUAUAGUUGAAUUUACAGUACGAUGAAAGAUGAAUUUAGAAUGAGUAAGCAGUAACACCAACGCUGUUGUUGAUGAUUUUGGAUAUUUAUUAAAGUUGACGAUAUUAAUUAUUGUAAAAAGCAACACGUCAGCAGCUUAUAAUUAAUAAACACGAAGUUAGCGGUGUAUCCUAAAUUAUUCCUCUCGAUGAACGCGUGUCAGGAAAGUUUUCGAAAAUAAAAGAUUCGAAGAAAUGACGCGAUAAGAAUUGCUUCCGUCAGCAUUUUCGCGCAACCAUUUUACGUCAUUAUAUUCAAUAAUUUAAUUUUCAUCGUAAAUCUUACCGAGACUUUAUCAAACCUGUAAUGUAAAUUUUAUUUCUGAAAAUUUCAAGCGGUUAACCUACAUUUGCUAAUUAGAAAGUAUGCGAAAAGUCGAGGUUGUGUUUGCUAUCUCACUCGACCCCCUCUCAUUUUCUCAUUUUUUUUUUUUUUUUUUUUACAAUACAUAGUUAUUUUUUCAUAAUAAAUGUCAUCGCGAAUAAGUCUGUCGCAUAAAAAUUUGUAUACCUAUAGUUUGUCGCGAGACGAUUUACGUUCAUAAAUUGAAUAAAAUUACAUUGUGUCACAUUAGUUGAGCAGAUUUUUUCGGUAAUGAAGACACUUUAAUAGACUCGUUGUUUCGCAUGUCGGAUUUGAGAAAAUGAAUUGUUAUAACGUUACGCGUCUAUUUGUUAGUAAUAAUAGAAUACAAUUAUAUCGAUAUAAUUUGUCAUUAAUAUUAUAAUUUU